Molecule: ribosomal RNA, 492 nt
Filed under: uncultured bacterium
Lineage: Bacteria
Description: bacterial SSU rRNA
Rfam family: Bacterial small subunit ribosomal RNA
Source: RNAcentral
CAGGCCUAACACAUGCAAGUCGAACGGUAACAGAGAGUAGCUUGCUCCUUUGCUGACGAGUGGCGGACGGGUGAGUAAUGUCUGGGGAUCUGCCUGAUGGAGGGGGAUAACUACUGGAAACGGUAGCUAAUACCGCAUAAUGUCGCAAGACCAAAGCGGGGGACUUUCGGGCCUCUCACCAUCAGAUGAACCCAGAUGGGAUUAGCUAGUAGGUAAGGUAAUGGCUUACCUAGGCGACGAUCCCUAGCUGGUCUGAGAGGAUGACCAGCCACACUGGAACUGAGACACGGUCCAGACUCCUACGGGAGGCAGCAGUGGGGAAUAUUGCACAAUGGGCGCAAGCCUGAUGCAGCCAUGCCGCGUGUAUGAAGAAGGCCUUCGGGUUGUAAAGUACUUUCAGUCGGGAGGAAGGGUGUGAAAUUAAUACUCUCAUGCAUUGACGUUACUGACAGAAGAAGCACCGGCUAACUCCGUGCCAGCAGCCGCGGUAAU